Myotis lucifugus (little brown bat) is the source of this 234-nucleotide long non-coding RNA. RefSeq lists it as uncharacterized. Lineage: Eukaryota; Metazoa; Chordata; Mammalia; Chiroptera; Vespertilionidae. The record is from RefSeq and is a predicted model, not a curated record. The transcript is spliced from 2 exons.
GCCAGGGCUCAAUCCUUCCAGCUAGCUUCACAAACAUGGUCACUUCAUGGUCAUCUCCAGGCCACUCUGAUGCAGCACGUGGCUCCGUCUCAGGAAUACGUAGCCGUUUUUCCAGAACGGGCCUGUUAAACCCUCUGAAAGAACAGAAAGUGAUGAACCUGGGUCUUGUUCUGGCUCCAUUGUGUACUGGGCUGGGUGGCUUCGGCUGAGCUAUUAAACAUUCCUUGGCUUGAA